CUACGGGAGGCUCCAGUGGGGAAUAUUGGACAAUGGGGGAAACCCUGAUCCAGCAAUGCCGCGUGUGUGAAGAAGGCCUGCGGGUUGUAAAGCACUUUCGGUUGGGAGGACUGCUUCUAGCACUAAUAUUGUUGGAAGUUGACGUUACCUUCAGAAGAAGCACCGGCUAACUCCGUGCCAGCAGCCGCGGUAAUACGGGGGUGCAAGCGUUAAUCGGAAUUACUGGGCGUAAAGCGCGCGUAGGCGGCUAGAUCAGUCGGGUGUGAAAGCCCCGGGCUUAACCUGGGAACUGCACCCGAUACUGUCUAGCUUGAGUACAGGAGAGGAGAGUGGAAUUCCACAUGUAGCGGUGAAAUGCGUAGAUAUGUGGAGGAACACCAAUGGCGAAGGCAGCUCUCUGGCCUGAUACUGACGCUGAGGUGCGAAAGCGUGGGGAGCAAACAGGAUUAGAUACCCGUGUAGUC
This 464-nucleotide ribosomal RNA is filed under the name uncultured bacterium. RNAcentral describes it as "partial 16S ribosomal RNA". It matches the Rfam family "Bacterial small subunit ribosomal RNA", at positions 339 to 795 of the family's 1533-position model. The record is from RNAcentral.